GGCACUGCAGCCUUUCCUUAACCUCUUUUUUUAAUCUCCCCAUUGGUUCUCCCUGUGAAAGCCUUAGGAAGUCGGAUGCUCCCUGAUGAAUUUGGCUGUUUCAAGUAGGCCUACCUUUGCUCUGGAAAGCCUCCAGGUUUAGAGAGCAGAUCCUGAGCCGGCAUCACCAUCCCCCAAGAAGCUGAAUCUGCCAGUCCUGUAAUGUCAGAAGGAUGCUGGAUAAAAUACAAAAGCAAAGUGUAAAAGACCGUAGGAUUCUCUGCAUUUUCAAAAUUAGACUAUUCCAAAAUUAGAUUAUUUCACACAAGGGUGGCGCAUGUGUGAUAUUUCAGUUAAUUGGAUGUUGAUGAAAACAGAUGCUUCAAUGAAUCAAACAGUUUGGUGAUUUCAUAUUCACAUUGGGAAAAAUGGUUGGGACUAUGAUAAUAGGUCGACCCAAGAUGGCCACAGUCAGCAUACAGUGUGGUCCAAAAGAUAUUUGAUUUCCUCUGAUCCCACUGUCCCUUUGUUCUGCAUGAACCAAUCAGGGGUGUUUCAAGGGGCCCCAGGCAAAAAGGACCUAAGGGAGGGCCCUGUCUCAGCUUGGGGCCCCAGACAACUUGCCUGCUUUGCCUACCAUGUUGCAACACCCCUGACAACGUUGAAUACACAGUAAUAUUUCAUAGUCAAAGAAGAAGUGUAGAAUGAAAGUGUUAAAACGUUAAGAUCUUGGUUCAAACAAUGUUCUCCACUUGCAAGAACAUGCAGCUUUGGCUUUCAAUGUUCUUCUCAGACGAUAUGAGUAGGUUCUUGGGCUCUCCUUCCCAAUCAGACUGCCUGACUUGUGUUCUAGGCCUCCCUCUCUCUGUCUGCACUCGCCACAAAGACAGUCUAACAAAGGCCUAAGGCGGAGAAGGAGAGAACGAGAGACAGUGAAGGGAAAGAGGUGGUAAAAAGAGUGGUGGUGGUGGUGUGGGGUUGGGAGGAGGGCACUCAGAGCAGGAUAGAAACAGCGAGAUAGAAAAGGAGAUGGAUGAAGGAAGUGGGAGAGUCAGAGCGUGAGAGAGGGGCAGCCUGAGACAGUAAAGAAGGCAAGCAACACUAAAUUAGAUGCUCUUGGAGAAGAGACAGUGAAUUAAUUCCAAAGAGAAUAUUGCAUUGUAUCUUCCUUUCCCUUCCUCUUUCAGCAUUGGGACACAGAGCGGAGUUAUGUUCCCCCAGAAGGCUCGUCUUUUUCUCCCUUCUCUCUUCUUUCAGUCCCAGGCUGUUGAUACCACUGGCAUCAACUUUUGUUUUCCCUAUCGUUGUCAGUCUACUUAUUAUUCUACUCUUUUUUCCUGCACCAAAUACACUA
This 1333-nucleotide long non-coding RNA is filed under the name Scophthalmus maximus (turbot). RNAcentral's name for it is "lncRNA (ENSSMAG00000028880.1)". The record is from RNAcentral. Lineage: Eukaryota; Metazoa; Chordata; Actinopteri; Pleuronectiformes; Scophthalmidae.